AGAGUUUGAUUAUGGCUCAGAACGAACGCUGGCGGCGCGCCUAAUACAUGCAAGUCGAGCGAGAAGGUGUAGCAAUACAUUUGUAAAGCGGCGAACGGGUGAGGAAUACAUGGGUAAUCUACCAUCGAGUGGGGAAUAACCAGCCGAAAGGUUGGCUAAUACCGCGUACGCUUCCGAAUCUUCGGGUUCGGAAGGAAAGCCGCGCUGUGAGUGCGGCGCUCUUUGAUGAGCUCAUGUCCUAUCAGCUUGUUGGUAGGGUAACGGCCUACCAAGGCUUUGACGGGUAGCUGGUCUGAGAGGACGAUCAGCCACACUGGCACUGCGACACGGGCCAGACUCCUACGGGAGGCAGCAGUAAGGAAUAUUGCGCAAUGGGCGAAAGCCUGACGCAGCGACGCCGCGUGGGGGAUGAAGGUCUUCGGAUUGUAAACCCCUUUCGGGAGGGAAGAUGGAGCGAGUAAUCGUUCGGACGGUACCUCCAGAAGCAGCCACGGCCAACUUCGUGCCAGCAGCCGCGGUAAUACGAAGGUGGCAAGCGUUGUUCGGAUUCACUGGGCGUACAGGGUGUGUAGGCGGUUUGGUAAGCCUUCUGUUAAAGCUUCGGGCCCAACCCGGAAAGCGCAGAGGGUACUGCCAGGCUAGAGGGUGGGAGAGGAGCGCGGAAUUCCCGGUGUAGCGGUGAAAUGCGUAGAGAUCGGGAGGAAGGCCGGUGGCGAAGGCGGCGCUCUGGAACAUACCUGACGCUGAGGCACGAAAGCGUGGGGAGCAAACAGGAUUAGAUACCCUGGUAGUCCACGCCCUAAACUAUGGAUACUAAGUGUCGGCGGGUUACCGCCGGUGCCGCAGCUAACGCAUUAAGUAUCCCGCCUGGGAAGUACGGCCGCAAGGUUGAAACUCAAAUGAAUUGACGG
This 911-nucleotide ribosomal RNA is filed under the name uncultured bacterium. RNAcentral describes it as "bacterial SSU rRNA". It matches the Rfam family "Bacterial small subunit ribosomal RNA", at positions 8 to 916 of the family's 1533-position model. The record is from RNAcentral.